This 440-nucleotide ribosomal RNA is filed under the name uncultured bacterium. RNAcentral describes it as "partial 16S ribosomal RNA". It matches the Rfam family "Bacterial small subunit ribosomal RNA", at positions 338 to 795 of the family's 1533-position model. The record is from RNAcentral.
CCUACGGGUGGCAGCAGUGGGGAAUAUUGCACAAUGGGGGAAACCCUGAUGCAGCGACGCCGCGUGAGUGAAGAAGUAAUUCGUUAUGUAAAGCUCUAUCAGCAGGGAAGAAAAUGACGGUACCUGAGUAAGAAGCCCCGGCUAACUACGUGCCAGCAGCCGCGGUAAUACGUAGGGGGCAAGCGUUAUCCGGAUUUACUGGGUGUAAAGGGAGCGUAGACGGCAGUGCAAGUCUGGAGUGAAAGGCGGGGGCUCAACCCCCGGACUGCUCUGGAAACUGGACGGCUGGAGUGCAGGAGAGGUAAGUGGAAUGCGGGGUGUAGCGGUGAAAUGCGUAGAUAUACGGAGGAACACCAGUGGCGAAGGCGGCCUGCUGGACACUAACUGACGCUGAGGCGCGAAAGCGUGGGGAGCAAACAGGAUUAGAUACCCCAGUAGUC